This is a long non-coding RNA of Oncorhynchus tshawytscha (Chinook salmon), 350 nucleotides long. Lineage: Eukaryota; Metazoa; Chordata; Actinopteri; Salmoniformes; Salmonidae. The record is from Ensembl.
CUCAGGCCUACUAGGUGUGUUGCCUCAGGCCUAUUAGGUGUGUUGCCUCAGGCCUACUAGGUGUGUUGCCUCUGGCCUACUAGGUGUGUUGCCUCUGGCCUACUAGGUGUGUUGCCUCAGGCCUACUAGGUGUGUUGCCUCAGGCCUACUAGGUGUGUUGCCUCAGGCCUAUUAGGUGUGUUGCCUCAGGCCUACUAGGUGUGUUGCCUCAGGACUGGAAAAAACAUAUGUUGUGGCUUUACACCCCCUGCUAUAGUGUGGAUAAAGGGUUACCUGUCGAACAGAACACAGAGACACAUAAUCCAGGUAGAAUCAGGAAAAUAGGCCCCUUACUUUUUAAAGGAAUUCGA